Molecule: ribosomal RNA, 496 nt
Filed under: uncultured bacterium
Lineage: Bacteria
Description: partial 16S ribosomal RNA
Rfam family: Bacterial small subunit ribosomal RNA
Source: RNAcentral
GAUGAACGCUGGCGGCGUGCCUAAUACAUGCAAGUCGAGCGAACAGACGAGGAGCUUGCUCCUCUGACGUUAGCGGCGGACGGGUGAGUAACACGUGGAUAACCUACCUAUAAGACUGGGAUAACUUCGGGAAACCGGAGCUAAUACCGGAUAACAUGUUGAACCGCAUGGUUCAACAGUGAAAGACGGUCUUGCUGUCACUUAUAGAUGGAUCCGCGCCGCAUUAGCUAGUUGGUAAGGUAACGGCUUACCAAGGCAACGAUGCGUAGCCGACCUGAGAGGGUGAUCGGCCACACUGGAACUGAGACACGGUCCAGACUCCUACGGGAGGCAGCAGUAGGGAAUCUUCCGCAAUGGGCGAAAGCCUGACGGAGCAACGCCGCGUGAGUGAAGAAGGUCUUCGGAUCGUAAAACUCUGUUAUUAGGGAAGAACAAAUGUGUAAGUAACUAUGUACGUCUUGACGGUACCUAAUCAGAAAGCCACGGCUAACUACGU